Molecule: long non-coding RNA, 233 nt
Filed under: Elaeis guineensis (African oil palm)
Lineage: Eukaryota; Viridiplantae; Streptophyta; Magnoliopsida; Arecales; Arecaceae
Description: long non-coding RNA (EGUI_LNC037262)
Source: RNAcentral
CUGAGAAUGUUGCCAUUAUUUUAGGAUUAUCCCUAAAUGGGGUGCCAUUGAUAUGAAAAAGGCUCUCCAAAGUGUGGUUAGGACCAUAUAUUUUGUAGAGAAGAUAGUUAGGAGGGAUGCAUUGGAAGAUAAUAUCAAAAUAUUGUUGUCUCAUUUAUCUUCCUUUGCGAUUUGAUCCACAGUGCCAUUACUUAUUACAUACCUUCUAGGUACAAUUUUAUUUUUUUUAUCAA